AUCCAGCUGAUGAGUCCCAAAUAGGACGAAACACGCGUCCUAGUGUUGGGGAU
Non-coding RNA from Schistosoma rodhaini, 53 nucleotides. The record is from Rfam. NCBI's taxonomy places the organism in Eukaryota, Metazoa, Platyhelminthes, Trematoda, Strigeidida, Schistosomatidae.